UACGAAGGGGGCUAGCGUUGUUCGGAAUUACUGGGCGUAAAGGGCGUGUAGGCGGCCCGUUAAGUCAGGUGUGAAAUUCCUGGGCUCAACCCAGGACGUGCGCCUGAGACUGGCGGGCUUGAAUCCGGGAGAGGAUGGUGGAACUCCCAGUGUAGAGGUGAAAUUCGUAGAUAUUGGGAAGAACACCCGUGGCGAAGGCGGCCAUCUGGACCGGUAUUGACGCUAAGGCGCGACAGCGUGGGGAGCAAACAGGAUUAGAAACCCCUGUAGUCC
Molecule: ribosomal RNA, 273 nt
Filed under: uncultured bacterium
Lineage: Bacteria
Description: partial 16S ribosomal RNA
Rfam family: Bacterial small subunit ribosomal RNA
Source: RNAcentral